AUUGAACGCUGGCGGCAGGCCUAACACAUGCAAGUCGAAUGGUAACAGGAAACAGCUUGCUGUUUCGCUGACGAGUGGCGGACGGGUGAGUAAUGUCUGGGAAACUGCCUGAUGGAGGGGGAUAACUACUGGAAACGGUAGCUAAUACCGCAUAACGUCGCAAGACCAAAGAGGGGGACCUUCGGGCCUCUUGCCAUCAGAUGUGCCCAGAUGGGAUUAGCUAGUAGGUGGGGUAACGGCUCACCUAGGCGACGAUCCCUAGCUGGUCUGAGAGGAUGACCAGCCACACUGGAACUGAGACACGGCCCCGACUCCUACGGGGGGCAGCAGUGGGGAAUAUUGCACAAUGGGGGCAAGCCUGAUGCAGCCAUGCCGCGUGUAUGAAGAAGGCCUUCGGGUUGUAAAGUACUUUCAGCGGGGAGGAAGGGAGUAAAGUUAAUACCUUUGCUCAUUGACGUUACCCGCAGAAGAAGCCCCGGCUAACUCCGUG
Molecule: ribosomal RNA, 490 nt
Filed under: uncultured bacterium
Lineage: Bacteria
Description: partial 16S ribosomal RNA
Rfam family: Bacterial small subunit ribosomal RNA
Source: RNAcentral